Molecule: ribosomal RNA, 794 nt
Filed under: uncultured archaeon
Lineage: Archaea
Description: bacterial SSU rRNA
Rfam family: Archaeal small subunit ribosomal RNA
Source: RNAcentral
UCCGGUGAUCCYGCCGGAAACUGAGGAUAAUGUUCCAUAGUUGAAUCGGCUUGGAAAAGUUUUUCAAUAAAAGGGAUAAGGAAAAUGGUCCUUAUCUGCUAUAGGAUAGGAUCGUGCUCGAUUAUGGUUGUUGGUGAAGUAAAGGCUCACCAAGCCGAUAAUCGAUAGGGGCCGUGAGAGCGGGAGCCCCGAGAUGGGUACUGAGACAACGACCCAGGCCUUACGAGGCGCAGCAGGCGCGAAACCUCCGCAAUACACGAAAGUGUGACGGGGUUACCCAAAGUGUUCUAUUUAGAACUGUGGUAGGUGAGUAAUGUUCCCUACUAGAAAGGAGAGGGCAAGGCUGGUGCCAGCCGCCGCGGUAAAACCAGCUCUUCAAGUGGUCGGGAUAAUAUUGGGCUUAAAGUGUCCGUAGCCGGUUUAGUAAGUUCCUGGUAAAAUCGGGUAGCUUAACUAUCUAUAUGCUAGGAAUACUACUAUACUAGAGGGCGGGAGAGGUCUGAGGUACUACAGGGGUAGGGGUGAAAUCUUAUAAUCCUUGUUGGACCACCAGUGGCGAAGGCGUCAGACUGGAGCGCGCCUGACGGUGAGGGGCGAAAGCCAGGGGAGCGAACCGGAUUAGAUACCCGGGUAGUCCUGGCCGUAAACGAUGCAUACUAGGUGAUGGUGUGGCCAUGAGCCGUAUCAGUGCCGUAGGGAAACCGUUAAGUGUGCCGCAUGGGAAGUACGGUCGCAAGGCCAAAACUUAAAGGAAUUGGCGGGGGAGCACCACAAGGGGUGAAGCCUGCGGUUCA